Long non-coding RNA from Rhododendron vialii, 742 nucleotides. RefSeq lists it as uncharacterized. The record is from RefSeq and is a predicted model, not a curated record. Lineage: Eukaryota; Viridiplantae; Streptophyta; Magnoliopsida; Ericales; Ericaceae. The transcript has 2 exons.
CCUCUCGUCCCCUGAUCAAACUGCAAUUAGUCCCCCGUUUGUUUCUCAUUCCCAUCCCGAGAUUGUCGUCCGAGAUUCCCAUCCAGAGAAUCGUAGUCCUGUAACGGACUCCAUUCCAUUUGAAAUUUUGGCUCCCUAUUUUCCUAAAUCCCUAAACGGCGACAAAUCCAUAGCAGUCUGGCCGUCCUCCAUUGUUGCGAAAUCUAUUUAAUCUAAUGGUCGUAUGCAGUCCCCCAUUCAAACCAAAUGAGGGUUUAUCCGGAAGAUCCCAAAAAGCCACAAAUCGAUCCAGUCAUAUUUUGCUGAAGCAAUCGACGGAGGAGGGGAAGAAAUCGAGAUGGCCAGAUUUCCCUCAACUGCGGUGUUAUUGUUUGCUAUAUCAUUCGGCAAUACUAUCAAAACGAACCCAUUUUGAAGACGCUACCAAAGGAUGCGGUCCGAUAUAGUUAAAGCAUUCAUUAGUGGUGAACAUAAUCCGUGGACACUAGAAGCAAUCUGAAGAAGCUGAGCACCGGAUGUUGGUGGUGUAGAAUGUCCCCACAGGAUGAUGCUACCAGUCUUCAGCCUAUGCCUUUGAGGACAAGUUUAGGGAUAAUACUACAUAUGUUACUAGUUUUUAGAACUAAGUAGAACUUUUUCUGGGUUAUAUAUGUUUUGGCAAUUGUGAUACUGACUAGCCAAGUAGAAUCAGUUUGGUGGAUAAUUCCUUAUUUUGCAUGUACCAAGUUGGUGUUUCAAUUAA